Molecule: ribosomal RNA, 530 nt
Filed under: uncultured microorganism
Description: bacterial SSU rRNA
Rfam family: Bacterial small subunit ribosomal RNA
Source: RNAcentral
GAGUUUGAUCGUGGCUCAGGAUGAACGCUGGCGGCGUGCCUAAUACAUGCAAGUCGAACGAACAGAUAAGGAGCUUGCUCCUUUGACGUUAGCGGCGGACGGGUGAGUAACACGUGGGUAACCUACCUAUAAGACUGGGAAUAACUCCGGGAAACCGGGGCUAAUGCCGGAUAACAUGUUGAACCGCAUGGUUCUACAGUGAAAGACGGUCUUGCUGUCACUUAUAGAUGGACCCGCGCCGUAUUAGCUAGUUGGUGGGGUAACGGCCUACCAAGGCGACGAUACGUAGCCGACCUGAGAGGGUGAUCGGCCACACUGGAACUGAGACACGGUCCAGACUCCUACGGGAGGCAGCAGUAGGGAAUCUUCCGCAAUGGGCGAAAGCCUGACGGAGCAACGCCGCGUGAGUGAUGAAGGUCUUCGGAUCGUAAAGCUCUGUUGUUAGGGAAGAACAAAUGUGUAAGUAACUGUGCAUAUCUUGACGGUACCUAACCAGAAAGCCACGGCUAACUACGUGCCAGCAGCCGCCG